CAGCAGCCGCGGUAAUACGUAGGGUGCGAGCGUUGAUCGGAAUUACUGGGCGUAAAGCGUGCGCAGGCGGUUAUAUAAGACAGAUGUGAAAUCCCCGGGCUCAACCUGGGACCUGCAUUUGUGACUGUAUAGCUAGAGUACGGUAGAGGGGGAUGGAAUUCCGCGUGUAGCAGUGAAAUGCGUAGAUAUGCGGAGGAACACCGAUGGCGAAGGCAAUCCCCUGGACCUGUACUGACGCUCAUGCACGAAGCGUGGGGAGCAAACAGGAUUAGAUACCCGAGUAGUCCCUGUCUCUUAUACC
RNAcentral lists this ribosomal RNA (301 nucleotides) under uncultured bacterium. Its description in RNAcentral is "partial 16S ribosomal RNA". It matches the Rfam family "Bacterial small subunit ribosomal RNA", at positions 509 to 808 of the family's 1533-position model. The record is from RNAcentral.